UGCCGAGCAUCCUGCCCAGGUGAUGAGGGACGCUCCGCGCGCCCCGCGCACAGGGCUGCUGCCGCUGGACGCCUCCAUUGUUUGACCACAAGGGCCGGGCGCUCCCAGCAGGAUCCAGGCUUCUACAGCCCUGCAGCUGCUGUGCCUGCCUCUGCCUCUUCGGGAAUGUCUUGGGGCCUCUGACGCCUGUUGCUGUGACCUGCAGACCCGGGAGACGGCCCUCGGGAGGAGAGCAAAGGGAGCUGCUUCCCCAGGACCAGAAGAGGUGUGUGGUGUUUCUGUCACGUUACAAGAUAGACGAGGGCAGCAGCAGCUUUCCGGACAAAGGCGUUGACUGACUUGAGUUUCCGUUGCAGAAGACUGGCGCACCAUCCUUUCUCUGGAGCAAGACACCGUCAGGGAGCUGCUUGUAGGGGGGCUUUCUGUCUGAUGUGGAGGAGGUGGAGCAACCCUCGGCCAGCUGGGCCAUCUCACCCUGCGCAUCUGGGGACACGUCCGCCCUUUCUCUAGACGUGACGAGUCUGAGGUUGCUCUCUCAGAAGAUUCUGGGGGCUCAGACACGCAGAGGUUUGCACAUUGGAAUGUUGAAAACUCAGGAA
Molecule: RNA transcript, 599 nt
Organism: Fukomys damarensis (Damara mole-rat)
Lineage: Eukaryota; Metazoa; Chordata; Mammalia; Rodentia; Bathyergidae
Exons: 3
Source: RefSeq, a predicted model, not a curated record